RNAcentral lists this ribosomal RNA (409 nucleotides) under uncultured bacterium. RNAcentral's name for it is "bacterial SSU rRNA". It matches the Rfam family "Bacterial small subunit ribosomal RNA", at positions 505 to 916 of the family's 1533-position model. The record is from RNAcentral.
GUGCCAGCCGCCGCGGUAAUACGGAGGAUGCAAGCGUUAUCCGGAUUUAUUGGGUUUAAAGGGUGCGUAGGCGGGACUGUAAGUCAGGGGUGAAAUACUGCAGCUUAACUGUAGCAUUGCCUUUGAAACUGCCGUUCUUGAGUACAGUUGAGGUAGGCGGAAUGUGGUGUGUAGCGGUGAAAUGCAUAGAUAUACCACAGAACGCCGAUUGCGAAGGCAGCUUACUAAGCUGUUACUGACGCUGAGGCACGAAAGCGUGGGGAUCAAACAGGAUUAGAUACCCUGGUAGUCCACGCUGUAAACGAUGAUUACUGGUUGUUAGCGAUAUAUAGCUAGUGACUGAGCGAAAGCAUUAAGUAAUCCACCUGGGGAGUACGUCGGCAACGAUGAAACUCAAAUAAAUUGACGG